AGGGUUUGAUUAUGGCUCAGAACGUACGCUGGCGGCACGCCUUAUACAUGCAAGUCGAACGAAGUAGCAAUACUUAGUGGCAGACGGGUGAGUAACAUGUGGGUAUCUUCCCUUUGGUGAGGAAUAACACGAGGAAACUUGUGCUAAUACCUCAUAAGUCUUUACGGAGAAAGCUUUAUGCGCCAAUGGAUGAGCCUGCACUUGAUUAGUUUGUUGGUGGGGUAAUGGCCUACCAAGACUUUGAUCAAUAGCUGAUCUGAGAGGAUGAUCAGCCACAUUGGGACUGAGACACGGCCCAAACUCCUACGGGAGGCAGCAGUAGGGAAUAUUGCACAAUGGAGGAAACUCUGAUGCAGCGAUGCCGCGUGAGUGAAGAAGGCCUUUGGGUUGUAAAGCUCUUUCGUCGGGGAAGAAAAUGACUGUACCCGAAUAAGAAGGUCCGGCUAACUUCGUGCCAGCCGCCGCGGUAAUAC
Molecule: ribosomal RNA, 473 nt
Filed under: uncultured bacterium
Lineage: Bacteria
Description: bacterial SSU rRNA
Rfam family: Bacterial small subunit ribosomal RNA
Source: RNAcentral